AUACGGAGGGUGCGAGCGUUAUCCGGAAUCACUGGGUUUAAAGGGUGCGUAGGCGGCCACAAUAGUCAGUAGUGAAAGGUUGCAGCUUAACUGUAAGACUGCUAUUGAAACUGUGUGGCUUGAAUCAAGAUGAGGUAGGCGGAAUGUGACAUGUAGCGGUGAAAUGCUUAGAUAUGUCAUAGAACACCAAUUGCGUAGGCAGCUUACUAGACUUGAAUUGACGCUGAGGCACGAAAGCGUGGGGAGCGAACAGGAUUAGAAACCCGUGUAGUCC
RNAcentral lists this ribosomal RNA (274 nucleotides) under uncultured bacterium. Its description in RNAcentral is "partial 16S ribosomal RNA". It matches the Rfam family "Bacterial small subunit ribosomal RNA", at positions 523 to 796 of the family's 1533-position model. The record is from RNAcentral.